GACGAACGCUGGCGGCGUGCCUAAUACAUGCAAGUCGAACGCUUCUUUCCUCCCUAGUGCUUGCACUCAAUUGGAAAGAGGGGUGGCGGACGGGUGAGUAACACGUGGGUAACCUACCCAUCAGAGGGGGAUAACACUUGGAAACAGGUGCUAAUACCGCAUAACAGUUUAUGCCGCAUGGCAUAAGAGUGAAAGGCGCUUUCGGGUGUCGCUGAUGGAUUGACCCGCGGUGCAUUAGCUAGUUGGUGAGGUAACGGCUCACCAAGGCCACGAUGCAUAGCCGAUCUGAGAGGGUGAUCGGCCACACUGGGACUGAGACACGGCCCAGACUCCUACGGGAGGCAGCAGUAGGGAAUCUUCGGCAAUGGACGAAAGUCUGACCGAGCAACGCCGCGUGAGUGAAGAAGGUUUUCGGAUCGUAAAACUCUGUUGUUAGAGAAGAACAAGGACGUUAGUAACUGAACGUCCCCUGACGGUAUCUAACCAGAAAGCCACGGCUAACUACGUG
Molecule: ribosomal RNA, 508 nt
Filed under: uncultured bacterium
Lineage: Bacteria
Description: partial 16S ribosomal RNA
Rfam family: Bacterial small subunit ribosomal RNA
Source: RNAcentral